UGGAGACAAUGUCUUGUUUCUUGCUUUUCCAGGAAAUAAGAGAAGGGCCAAGAAACAUACACCAGCCAGUGGUAGAACGUCGAGUAUCACUACAUUCGGCAUAAUCAGCAUCACUAUACUCGACAAGAUCAAGUGAGGUACCUGUAGGGUAAAAAAGUUCCCGCAAGGAUGUACCUUGAACAUAUUUGAUGAUUCUUCGAACUGCGGCCAUAUGGAGAUGUCGAGGAGAAUCCAUGUACCGACAAACCUGCUGGACUGCAUAAGAGAUAUCGGGCCUAGUGAUUGUCAGAUAUACCAAGUUGCCAACAAGAGUGCGAUAGGUUGUGGGGUCUAAUAACAGGUCACCCUCAUCUUUGCGUAGCUUGAGAUUAAUUUUCAUGGGAGUUUCAAGAGGUGUAGAGUGCUGGAGACCAGCAGCAGCCACCAAGUCUUUGGCAUACUUAUGUUGUGACAGAAAAGUACCACGUGAAUCAGCAAUAAUUUCUAGACCAAGAAAAUAUGUGAGAGAGCCGAGAUCCUUGAUGUGAAAUGAGUCCUUUAAAUGCUGUUUUGAUUGGGAAAUCAGAACUGAAUCUGUACUCGUGAUAAUUAUAUCGUCCACAUACACUAAGAUAACCAUAAUACCAGACUUAGUUUUGCGAAGAAAUAAAGAUGCAUCAUACUUGCUUUUGAGAAAAGCAAGUUUGAGUAGAGUAGAGACAAAUUUCUCAUAUCAAGCACGGGGGGCUUGCUUAAGACCGUACAAAGAUCGACGUAACUUGCACACAGCAGAAGUAGGAGCGGAAAGUAAGCCAGCUAGAGGACGCAUAUAAACAUCUUCCUUGAGAUCUCUGUGAAGAAAUGCAUUCUUCACAUCCAUUUGAUGUAAACCCCAAUUUUGAGAAGCAGCAAUAGCCAAUAUAGUGCGGAUAGUGGUCAUUUUAGCUAUCGGAGCCAAAGUCUCAUCAUAAUUCACACCAUAUUCUUGAUUAUUUCCAAGAGCUACUAAGCGGGCCUUAUAUCUGUCCAAACUACCAUCAGAUUUAACCUUAAUAGAAUAGACCCACUUACAACCAAGUGGAGUCACACCUGCUGGACAAUCUACCAAUUCCCAAGUCUUAUUAGCUUCAAGAGCACAUAGUUUCUCCUUCAUGGCCUGCUGCCAACAUUUUUCUUUAACUGCUUGUGAGUAACCGGUAGGAAUAACAAUAGAGGAUAUAGUGGCCGAGAGUGCAGAAUUGUAGGUACAUACCAUAAGUGACUCAAAUCCAUAACAGUCAGGAGGACCAGAAACUCUAGAGGAGCGGCGCAAGGGAGCAGAUGGUAAGGCAGGAGCAGAAGGGGGCAGCACUUGAAGUCUUCGCUCAUAGACCAUACCAGGCUUAUUCCUUUCAACCUGAUUAUUAGGAGCACUAGAGGUGUCAUCAAAAGAAGGUAAGAGAGAAAGAGAAGGAUUCUUUGAUGAAGACAUAGGAAAGAACCAUUGAUUUUCACAAAAGAGCACAUUUCGUGAAACAGAACCUUAUUAGAGUUUGGAUCAUAGCAUAAAUACCCUUUUUAUGUGACACUAUAUACUAAGAACGCACAACGUACGGACUGAGUAGAAAGCUUGUUCCUGUCUGGUGAAGGAAGAUGCAUAAAACACAAAAACCCAAAAGUGUGUAGAUUUGAGUAGGUAGGAUUGCGAUGAUGAAGUUUGAAAUAUGGAGACUGAAAAUUUAGAACUUGGGAAGGGAGUCUAUUGAUAAGAAAAGUUGUUGUAGCAAGUGCUUCUACCUAAAACUUUGGAGGAACAUAAGACUCAAUGAGCAAGGUCCUUAUAAGAAAAGUUGUUGUAGCAAGUGCUUCUACCUAAAACUUUGGAGGAACAUAAGACUCAAUGAGCAAGGUCCUUACAACAUCUAAAAGAUGGCGAUUUUUUCUUUCGGCAAGUCCAUUUUGUUGUGGAGUGUAUGGACAAGAGCGUUGAGAGAU
Molecule: long non-coding RNA, 1953 nt
Filed under: Olea europaea subsp. europaea
Lineage: Eukaryota; Viridiplantae; Streptophyta; Magnoliopsida; Lamiales; Oleaceae
Source: RNAcentral